CGCGUAGGUGGGAUAGUCAGUCUGUCUUAAAAGUGCGGGGCUCAACCCCGUGAUGGGGCGGAAACUGCUAUUCUUGAGUGCAGGAGAGGAAAGCGGAAUUCCCAGUGUAGCGGUGAAAUGCGUGGAUAUUGGGAGGAACACCAGUGGCGAAGGCGGCUUUCUGGACUGUGUCUGACACUGAGGCGCGAAAGCUAGGGGAGCGAACGGGAUUAGAUACCCCGGUAGUCCUAGCCGUAAACGAUGGGUACUAGGUGUAGGGGGUAUCGACCCCUCCUGUGCCGGAGUUAACGCAAUAAGUACCCCGCCUGGGGAGUACGGCCGCAAGGUUGAA
RNAcentral lists this ribosomal RNA (331 nucleotides) under uncultured bacterium. Its description in RNAcentral is "bacterial SSU rRNA". It matches the Rfam family "Bacterial small subunit ribosomal RNA", at positions 568 to 898 of the family's 1533-position model. The record is from RNAcentral.